AGAUUGAACGCUGGCGGCAUGCCUUACACAUGCAAGUCGAACGGCAGCACGGGAGCAAUCCUGGUGGCGAGUGGCGAACGGGUGAGUAAUACAUCGGAACGUGCCCGGUAGUGGGGGAUAACCCGGCGAAAGCCGGACUAAUACCGCAUACGACCUAAGGGUGAAAGCGGGGGAUCGCAAGACCUUGCGCUAUCGGAGCGGCCGAUGUCAGAUUAGCUUGUUGGUGGGGUAAAAGCCUACCAAGGCGACGAUCUGUAGCUGGUCUGAGAGGACGACCAGCCACACUGGGACUGAGACACGGCCCAGACUCCUACGGGAGGCAGCAGUGGGGAAUUUGGACAAUGGGCGCAAGCCUGAUCCAGCCAUGCCGCGUGCGGGAAGAAGGCCUGGGUUGUAAACGCUUUGUCAGGAAGAAACGCUCCGGCCAAGUACCCUGGAGUAAUGACGGUACCUGAAGAAUAAGCACCGGCUAACUACGUACGCCAGCAGCCGAC
This 494-nucleotide ribosomal RNA is filed under the name uncultured soil bacterium. RNAcentral's name for it is "bacterial SSU rRNA". It matches the Rfam family "Bacterial small subunit ribosomal RNA", at positions 26 to 518 of the family's 1533-position model. The record is from RNAcentral.